GACAUGUUUACUUUUGAAAAAUCUAUAAUUAUUAUUUAUUGUAUUUAUUUUCUCUUAAUAAAAUAUGGGAAAUAAAUUAAUAGAAUUAGUUUUAUAUUUCCUGGUACACUUCCAAUCAUAAGGUAAAGAUGAUACGACUGCACCAAGCCUAAAAAGGAGUUUUAGAACUACGCAAGUAAUACACGCAAAAAGCAGAUGGUCCUUUCAAGAAAAAAAAGAAAAAAGAUGAUACGACUGGGUUACUAGCUUUAGCUCGCAAAGAAUUGGAGAAACCAGAGAGUGACUUCGAGAAAAUUGCUGCUGCCUGGGCAAUAGAACUAGCAAAAAUGAAACCAGACCAACAGUUAUUUGCAAAGAAAGGUUCCAUACAAAUGAACGUAAGUCGUACAUCUACUCCCUUCACCUAUGUCCCACUAGGCCCGGCAAGCAACGCUUCAUCGUAUGAAUCAUUGCAAUACUCAUCACCUGGGUACAAUAACCAAAUGCAGUCUGGUAAUCAGUCAACUGAUACUGCUAGUAAUUUUUGUUCAAACUUUGCAGAUAUUUAAUAAUGUAAAUUUAAUUAUGAAAUAAACUAGUUAAGUUCUA
Long non-coding RNA from Anthonomus grandis grandis, 588 nucleotides. RefSeq lists it as uncharacterized. NCBI's taxonomy places the organism in Eukaryota, Metazoa, Arthropoda, Insecta, Coleoptera, Curculionidae. The transcript is spliced from 4 exons. The record is from RefSeq and is a predicted model, not a curated record.